CCUACGGGAGGCAGCAGUGAGGAAUAUUGGUCAAUGGGCGCGAGCCUGAACCAGCCAAGUAGCGUGAAGGAUGACUGCCCGACGGGUUGUAAACUGCUGGUAUAAAGGAAUAAAGUGAGGCACGUGUGCCUUGUUGUAUGUACGUUAUGAAUAAGGAUCGGCUAACUCCGUGCCAGCAGCCGCGGUAAUACGGAGGAUCCGAGCGUUAUCCGGAUUUAUUGGGUUUAAAGGGAGCGUAGAUGGGUUGUUAAGGCAGUUGUGAAAGUUUGCGGCGAAACCGUAAAAUUGCAAUUGAUACUGGCAGUCUUGCGUACAGUUGCGGUCGGCGGCAUUCGUGGUGUCGCGGUUCACUGCU
RNAcentral lists this ribosomal RNA (355 nucleotides) under uncultured bacterium. RNAcentral describes it as "partial 16S ribosomal RNA". It matches the Rfam family "Bacterial small subunit ribosomal RNA", at positions 338 to 690 of the family's 1533-position model. The record is from RNAcentral.